This is a transfer RNA of 77 nucleotides. It matches the Rfam family "tRNA". Rfam says of the family: Transfer RNA (tRNA) molecules are approximately 80 nucleotides in length. Their secondary structure includes four short double-helical elements and three loops (D, anti-codon, and T loops).
GGUUCCGUAGCUCAGCCGGUUAGAGCGUGUGGCUGUUAACCACAAGGUCGCUGGUUCGAUCCCAGCCGGUACCGCAA